AAGCGUGCGCAGGCGGUUAUAUAAGACAGAUGUGAAAUCCCCGGGCUCAACCUGGGAACUGCAUUUGUGACUGUAUAGCUGGAGUGCGGCAGAGGGGGAUGGAAUUCCGCGUGUAGCAGUGAAAUGCGUAGAUAUGCGGAGGAACACCGAUGGCGAAGGCAAUCCCCUGGGCCUGCACUGACGCUCAUGCACGAAAGCGUGGGGAGGCAAACAGGAUUAGAUACCCUUGU
This 230-nucleotide ribosomal RNA is filed under the name uncultured bacterium. RNAcentral describes it as "partial 16S ribosomal RNA". It matches the Rfam family "Bacterial small subunit ribosomal RNA", at positions 563 to 791 of the family's 1533-position model. The record is from RNAcentral.